UUAAGAAUGAUAUGGGGCUGCGGAUGCAGACUUGGUUGCCUAAGCGCUUUAUGAAUAUAGUGCUGCAUUGAGACUGCUUGCGCUUCACUCUGAUUCAUCUCUGUGGUAGGCAGCGGGCGAACAAGCGAGAGAGGGGGAGAGAGAAACAGAAGAGCGAGUGUCUCGGUUUCUUGUACAGUACACACAACUCGCUACUAACAGGAAGCUGUCCAUCAGCCAAACCUGCUGAAAAUGAUUCUCACCCUGAUCAGUUUCCUCGGAUUGCUCGUCUCCGGCAGUCAAGGACAUUUUCUUUAUGGAAAGUCUCAUCUCAGAGCACUUCAGAAUGAGUCAUUUCAGAAUUGAAUACAGGAAGGGUUACAAACCCC
RNAcentral lists this long non-coding RNA (368 nucleotides) under Lepisosteus oculatus (spotted gar). Its description in RNAcentral is "lncRNA (ENSLOCG00000022602.1)". The record is from RNAcentral. Lineage: Eukaryota; Metazoa; Chordata; Actinopteri; Semionotiformes; Lepisosteidae.